GGUGGCUCAGCGGUAGAGCUCUUGCCUAGCAUGCAUGAGGCCCUGGGUUCCAUUCCUCAGCACCA
This 65-nucleotide transfer RNA is filed under the name Dipodomys ordii (Ord's kangaroo rat). It matches the Rfam family "tRNA". Rfam says of the family: Transfer RNA (tRNA) molecules are approximately 80 nucleotides in length. Their secondary structure includes four short double-helical elements and three loops (D, anti-codon, and T loops). The record is from Rfam by way of RNAcentral. Lineage: Eukaryota; Metazoa; Chordata; Mammalia; Rodentia; Heteromyidae.